UAAAGGCUGAUGAUGAUGAUGAUGAUGAA
This 29-nucleotide non-coding RNA is filed under the name Bombyx mori (domestic silkworm). Lineage: Eukaryota; Metazoa; Arthropoda; Insecta; Lepidoptera; Bombycidae. The record is from RNAcentral.